UGGGGAAUAUUGCGCAAUGGGCGAAAGCCUGACGCAGCGACGCCGCGUGAGGGAUGAAGGCCUUCGGGUUGUAAACCUCUUUCAGCAGGGAAGAAGCGAGAGUGACGGUACCUGCAGAAGAAGCACCGGCUAACUACGUGCCAGCAGCCGCGGUAAUACGUAGGGUGCAAGCGUUGUCCGGAAUUAUUGGGCGUAAAGAGCUCGUAGGCGGUCUGUCGCGUCUGCUGUGAAAACCCGGGGCUCAACCCCGGGCUUGCAGUGGAUACGGGCAGACUAGAGUUCGGUAGGGGAGACUGGAAUUCCUGGUGUAGCGGUGAAAUGCGCAGAUAUCAGGAGGAACACCGGUGGCGAAGGCGGGUCUCUGGGCCGAUACUGACGCUGAGGAGCGAAAGCGUGGGGAGCGAACAGG
Molecule: ribosomal RNA, 409 nt
Filed under: Bacillota bacterium
Lineage: Bacteria; Bacillati; Bacillota
Description: Firmicutes bacterium partial 16S ribosomal RNA
Rfam family: Bacterial small subunit ribosomal RNA
Source: RNAcentral